ACUGUCCUUUUCUUGGGGUUGCACUACUGUCCAGUAAGCUCAUAGUGAGACGGUACUGCUAACACCUACACAGCAUGCCCGCAUCAAUUAGAGCUUUGCUUUACAUUGGUGCAAGUUUUAGAAAA
Small nuclear RNA from Otolemur garnettii (small-eared galago), 125 nucleotides. The record is from Ensembl. Lineage: Eukaryota; Metazoa; Chordata; Mammalia; Primates; Galagidae.